Paramuricea clavata is the source of this 770-nucleotide non-coding RNA. NCBI's taxonomy places the organism in Eukaryota, Metazoa, Cnidaria, Anthozoa, Malacalcyonacea, Plexauridae. The record is from the annotation of a GenBank genome assembly.
AUUUUUUUAAUUAAAAUUUAUAGGCCUAUUUUCCAAGGAAGGAAUUAAUUUUUUUUUGCACUAUGCCUGGGAAGAUUUUUUUCCUUAAUUUUUUUUCUGGGAAUAAUUUUUUUUUUGGUCCCCCCCCCAUCACUUUUCUAAUGGUCCGUCCCUAACUAGGUUUCUAAAUGUUUUUUCGACCGGCGUUUAUCAAUCAAAACUUUGACAGUCAUAACUUCGCAGGGCGUGGUGGUGGUACUGUAUCAACUAAAUUGUUUUGCACGCGAAACUUUCAUGUUUAUAUUUCGCAUGGGCAUGUUCAUACUUUAUCGCGAGAAAAUUGCUAUAGAAAGCGAAAUGUCAGAUUUAUAGCACGGGAUUUGUUUAUUUUCCAGAUUAGAAGUGUUCUUUUGCGUUUUGACGCUAAAACUCGUGCAAAACAACGACAGCUUGAUAGAACACCCAAAAAAAUUAGAACAUAAAAACAAAAAGUUUGUUUGACAAACUCCGCGGAAGAAACGUUUUGAAACUAGUACUCGGCAUAUGGAUUUAAGGACAAGAAAAUGAACAGAACUAUAGCGUGAUUUAUUGUAGGCUACGACGUUGUGCAGUACUCACCUUCCAUACUUGGGAUAGGAGAUAUUUAAAGAUAUGUGUAUAUACUCUGACUCUGUAAGAGAAGAAACGUAAGAUGUAAAUAAUUUGAAAGAAUAUACAUGCCCCCAGAAAAUAAAAUACAAAUACACAUAUGCGGACGUUUUUGCUGAGGGUGUUUAUAUUAUUAUGGCGUC